RNAcentral lists this RNase P RNA (335 nucleotides) under Variovorax sp. RNAcentral describes it as "RNase P RNA component class A". It matches the Rfam family "Bacterial RNase P class A". From Rfam's summary of the family: Ribonuclease P (RNase P) is a ubiquitous endoribonuclease, found in archaea, bacteria and eukarya as well as chloroplasts and mitochondria. Its best characterised activity is the generation of mature 5'-ends of tRNAs by cleaving the 5'-leader elements of precursor-tRNAs. Lineage: Bacteria; Pseudomonadati; Pseudomonadota; Betaproteobacteria; Burkholderiales; Comamonadaceae. The record is from RNAcentral.
GAAGCACGCCGGACCGCCGCUGGUGCAUGUCUCGAAAGAGCGCACUGGAGGAACGUCCGGACUGCACAGGACAGCGCAGGAGCUAACGGCUCUCCACCGCGAGGUGAGGAUCAGAGCAACAGAGACGAGUCGGCCGGGGGCAACUCCGGUCGGGUGAAACGGGCAAUCUCUGCGCGCAGCAACACCAAGUAGGCCAGCGUCGAUGUGGUUCCGCAGAGCUGGCGGGUAGGUGGCACCGAGCCGUUUGGUGACAAACGGCCCAGAGUAAUGGCGGUCACGUUGAGGUUCGCAAGAACUUCAGCGCACAGAAUCCGGCUUAUAGGCGUGCUUCACAC